This 330-nucleotide ribosomal RNA is filed under the name uncultured bacterium. RNAcentral's name for it is "bacterial SSU rRNA". It matches the Rfam family "Bacterial small subunit ribosomal RNA", at positions 144 to 507 of the family's 1533-position model. The record is from RNAcentral.
UAACUCAGGGAAACUUGAGCUAAUACCAUAUAAUGUCUUCGGACCAAAGAUUUAUCGCCCUGAGAUAAGCCCGCGUAGGAUUAGCUAGUUGGUGGGGUAAAGGCUCACCAAGGCGACGAUCCUUAGCUGGUCUGAGAGGAUGAUCAGCCACACUGGGACUGAGACACGGCCCAGACUCCUACGGGAGGCAGCAGUGGGGGAAUAUUGGACAAUGGGCGAAAGCCUGAUCCAGCAAUGCCGCGUGAGUGAUGAAGGCCUUCGGGUUGUAAAGCUCUUUUACUCGGGACGAUAAUGACGGUACCGAGAGAAUAAGCCCCGGCUAACUCCGUG